CCACUGCUUCGGAAGCUUUGU
RNAcentral lists this non-coding RNA (21 nucleotides) under Arabidopsis thaliana (thale cress). The record is from RNAcentral. Lineage: Eukaryota; Viridiplantae; Streptophyta; Magnoliopsida; Brassicales; Brassicaceae.